RNAcentral lists this ribosomal RNA (406 nucleotides) under uncultured bacterium. RNAcentral describes it as "partial 16S ribosomal RNA". It matches the Rfam family "Bacterial small subunit ribosomal RNA", at positions 360 to 773 of the family's 1533-position model. The record is from RNAcentral.
AAUAUUGCGCAAUGGAGGGAACUCUGACGCAGCGACGCCGCGUGAGCGAUGAAGGGUUUCGGAUCGUAAAGCUCUGUCCUUGGGGAAGAAGGUCUUCGGAGUUGACGGUACCUAAGGAGGAAGCCCCCGCUAACUACGUGCCAGCAGCCGCGGUAAUACGUAGGGGGCAAGCGUUGUACGGAAGUAUUGGGUGUAAAGGGGGCGUAGGCGGCAUUUUAAGUCAGGUGUGAAAGCCCACGGCUUAACCGUGGGAUUGCAUUUGAAACUGGAAGGCUUGAGUAUCGGAGAGGGUAGUGGAAUUCCCAGUGUAGCGGUGGAAUGCGUAGAUAUUGGGAGGAACACCAGUGGCGAAGGCGACUACCUGGACGAAAACUGACGCUGAGGCACGAAAGCUAGGGGAGCAAAC